UACGUAGGCAGCAAGCGUUGUUCGGAAUUACUGGGCGUAAAGAGUGUGUAGGCGGUGCUCUAAGUCUGUUGUGAAAUCUCCCGGCUUAACUGGGAGGGUGCGGCGGAGACUGGAGUGCUAGAGUGUGGGAGAGGUAAGCGGAAUUCCUGGUGUAGCGGUGAAAUGCGUAGAUAUCGGGAGGAAUACCUAUGGCGAAAGCAGUCUUCUGGACCAUCACUGACUCUGAUCUGCGAAAGCUAGGGGAGCAAACGGG
Molecule: ribosomal RNA, 253 nt
Filed under: uncultured prokaryote
Description: partial 16S ribosomal RNA
Rfam family: Bacterial small subunit ribosomal RNA
Source: RNAcentral